This 498-nucleotide ribosomal RNA is filed under the name uncultured Glomeromycotina. RNAcentral describes it as "partial small subunit ribosomal RNA". It matches the Rfam family "Eukaryotic small subunit ribosomal RNA", at positions 591 to 1092 of the family's 1831-position model. Lineage: Eukaryota; Fungi; Glomeromycota. The record is from RNAcentral.
CCAAUAGCGUAUAUUAAAGUUGUUGCAGUUAAAAAGCUCGUAGUUGAAUUUCGGGAUCAAGUCGUCGGUCGUGCUCAGGUACGUACUGGCGUCAUUGAUUUCUCCCUUCUGACGAACCAUGAUGUCAUUAAUUUGGUGUUAUGGGAAAUCAGGACUGUUACUUUGAAAAAAUUAGAGUGUUUAAAGCAGGCUCACGCUUGAAUACAUUAGCAUGGAAUAAUGAAAUAGGACGUUCGAUCCUAUUUUGUUGGUUUUAGGAUCAACGUAAUGAUUAAUAGGGAUAGUUGGGGGCAUUAGUAUUCAAUUGUCAGAGGUGAAAUUCUUGGAUUUAUUGAAGACUAACUACUGCGAAAGCAUUUGCCAAGGAUGUUUUCAUUAAUCAAGAACGAAAGUUAGGGGAUCGAAGACGAUCAGAUACCGUCGUAGUCUUAACCAUAAACUAUGCCGACUAGGGAUCGGAUGAUGUUAAUUUUUUAAUGACUCAUUCGGCGCCUUACG